RNAcentral lists this non-coding RNA (31 nucleotides) under Mus musculus (house mouse). The record is from RNAcentral. Lineage: Eukaryota; Metazoa; Chordata; Mammalia; Rodentia; Muridae.
UGGUGAUUCCCAAACCUACUUAUACAAAGAA